RNAcentral lists this ribosomal RNA (29 nucleotides) under Eleutherococcus sieboldianus. RNAcentral's name for it is "partial 18S ribosomal RNA". The record is from RNAcentral. Lineage: Eukaryota; Viridiplantae; Streptophyta; Magnoliopsida; Apiales; Araliaceae. RNAcentral also lists the same sequence under 1 other name.
UCCUAGGUGAACCUGCGGAAGGAUCAUUG